RNAcentral lists this long non-coding RNA (213 nucleotides) under Gossypium raimondii (Peruvian cotton). RNAcentral's name for it is "long non-coding RNA (GRAI_LNC001252)". Lineage: Eukaryota; Viridiplantae; Streptophyta; Magnoliopsida; Malvales; Malvaceae. The record is from RNAcentral.
AUAAGUGCAGUUGUUUACGGGUUAAUGGGUAGCAUCAAUUCUAUUGUUAAGGGAUGUGUUGGUUGGAUAAAUUGGUGUUAUUUUUUGGUUUUUAGCUACUUAUUUUUAGUAUUUUAUUAUGUUUGACGGUGAUGUAAAUGCCCCAGAUUAGUAGUGAAGCUGUUUGUCAUCCGAGUGCACAUUUCGCACUAAAUCAGUGUAAGUAAUCUAGUU